UACGUAGGGGGCAAGCGUUGUCCGGAAUCAUUGGGCGUAAAGCGUGCGCAGGCGGUUCGUUGUGUCGGUGGUGAAAGCCCCGGGCUUAACCUGGGAAUGGCCAUGGAAACUGGCGAACUGGAGUGUGGCAGAGGGGGGUGGAAUUCCGCGUGUAGCAGUGAAAUGCGUAGAGAUGCGGAGGAACACCGAUGGCGAAGGCAGCCCCCUGGGCUAGCACUGACGCUCAGGCACGAAAGCGUGGGGAGCAAACAGG
RNAcentral lists this ribosomal RNA (253 nucleotides) under uncultured bacterium. Its description in RNAcentral is "partial 16S ribosomal RNA". It matches the Rfam family "Bacterial small subunit ribosomal RNA", at positions 524 to 776 of the family's 1533-position model. The record is from RNAcentral.